Acanthosepion pharaonis is the source of this 85-nucleotide non-coding RNA. The record is from the annotation of a GenBank genome assembly. NCBI's taxonomy places the organism in Eukaryota, Metazoa, Mollusca, Cephalopoda, Sepiida, Sepiidae.
UUACUGGUUUCCAUAUGAUCACUGAAGUUAAGCAACAUUGAGCCUGGUCAGUACAGAGAUGUGUGACCACUUGGAAAUACCAGGU